UAUAUAUAUAUAUUUCACCUUAAGGUGAAACCUUUAAUUAGUAAAUUAUCACAACAUACCAACAAAAAUAACCACAUUAUAAAACAAAUGGCUGUCAUCUAGCACAUAAAAUUAAACAAAUUUAUGCAUUUUCUAAGUUUAAAAAAAAACAACACUUAUGCUUAUGAAUUUUGGUUUAUAAAUACAUGUUGUUGGCUUUUAUAGGCAUCAAUAAAAAUUUAUGGCGAUUUUUGCAGGUUCACUGCGCUGGCAGAAUGUAAUAAGGAAUUAAUGUUAUUUCAUUGAACUAAGUCAUUGACUUGAUAAUAUAUUUUUCCUCUCUCUUAAUCUUAUAUCUGUAUAACUGUUUUAUCUUUCUUGUUCUACCUAAUAAUAAAAAAAAAA
Non-coding RNA from Biomphalaria pfeifferi, 384 nucleotides. The record is from the annotation of a GenBank genome assembly. Lineage: Eukaryota; Metazoa; Mollusca; Gastropoda; Planorbidae.